AUUAAACGCUGGCGGCAUGCCUUACACAUGCAAGUCGAACGGCAGCACGGGGGCAACCCUGGUGGCGAGUGGCGGACGGGUGAGUAAAGCAUCGGAACGUAUCCUGGAGUGGGGGAUAACGUAGCGAAAGUUACGCUAAUACCGCAUAUUCUGUGAGCAGGAAAGCAGGGGAUCGCAAGACCUUGCGCUCUGGGAGCGGCCGAUGUCGGAUUAGCUAGUUGGUGGGGUAAAGGCCUACCAAGGCGACGAUCCGUAGCGGGUCUGAGAGGAUGAUCCGCCACACUGGGACUGAGACACGGCCCAGACUCCUACGGGAGGCAGCAGUGGGGAAUUUUGGACAAUGGGCGGAAGCCUGAUCCAGCCAUGCCGCGUGAGCGAUGAAGGCCUCGGUUGUAAAGCUCUUUAGUCCGAUGAUUAUAAU
Molecule: ribosomal RNA, 421 nt
Filed under: uncultured bacterium
Lineage: Bacteria
Description: bacterial SSU rRNA
Rfam family: Bacterial small subunit ribosomal RNA
Source: RNAcentral